Molecule: ribosomal RNA, 252 nt
Filed under: uncultured prokaryote
Description: partial 16S ribosomal RNA
Rfam family: Bacterial small subunit ribosomal RNA
Source: RNAcentral
AUACGUAGGGUGCGAGCGUUAAUCGGAAUUACUGGGCGUAAAGUGUGCGCAGGCGGCCGCGCAAGUCGAGUGUGAAAUCCCCGGGCUUAACUUGGGAAUUGCGCUCGAAACUACGUGGCUGGAGUGUGGCAGAGGAAGGUGGAAUUCCACGUGUAGCGGUGAAAUGCGUAGAGAUGUGGAGGAACACCGAUGGCGAAGGCAGCCUUCUGGGCCAACACUGACGCUCAUGCACGAAAGCGUGGGGAGCAAACA